CCCUGGGUGGCGCAGCGGUUUGGUGCCUGCCUUUGGCCCAGGGCGUGAUCCUGGAGACCCGGGAUCAAGUCCCACAUCGGGCUCCCUGCAUGGAGCCUGCUUUUCCCUCUGCCUAUGUCUCUGCCUCUCUCUCUCUCUGUGUGUGACUAUCAUAAAUAAAUAAAAAUUUAAAAAAAAAGAAAUGAACAUUUUAAAAAAAUCCAAAUUUUUCAUCAUGACAGGAAUGUAAACACAAAGAAAAUCAGAGAGACAUUACUGUCCUGCCCACGUGCCCAUGCCAGACUGUGAUAAAUUUGGCCCAUAGGUAAUAAGCUGUAGCAGCCAAGCAUAUGUAGGCAUUUUGUGCAGGGAGCCCUUGGCAUCUCAGCCGCCAGGAAUGCAAAGGAAGACAGAAUGUGCAACAGGAUCACACCAACUACCUUUUGGGUAUAUAUAUAAUGGAGGUAAUUAAAAGUGGAAUAUUGAAGGAAGGCUAUGUAAAUAUAAGAUCUGAUUAGCUAGAAGAGAACUGCUUUUCAUAAAAUCCAAGUCAAGAGAAAAUAUAAUUUUCACUGAUAAAUCGAUAUAAACAAUACCUGUCGUUAUUCAGAGUUGCUUUUAAGCUUUAAACUUAUUUUAAGAACUCAAGUUUUUAAACUAUUAACUGCUCUGCAUUAGUAAUCUAGUGGCCUGAAUACAGAAGUAAUGCUAAAUGAUAUAAAGUCUGUGUAUUCCAAAUAGGAUUAAAAGUGGGAAAUUUGCUAUGUCUAUCUAAAGCUGUCCAAUGAAAAAUAAAGCAUAACUUGCUAUUUAAUGAGUAAAUAUGAAAAAAUUGAUUUAAAUUAACUCAUGAUACUAGGUUAGGCAAGAAAUCUGUGACACUAGCCAUCAUGACCAUCUUAAACCAAAGGAAAAAAUGUCCCCAUCUUUGAAAAAUGUUUGUAAAGGAAUUCACAAAUACUAUACCAGGCUUGGCAAAGAUGGAAAGGCUCUAUUCACGAAGGCAGAAAACAAGCCACAGGACUUACCCCACAGCAAAACUCACUUGCUGGAUGCCAACACACUACAGAUUUCAACAGCCUGCCAUGUCCUCCCUUCAUUCCUCCCCGUCUGCUCGGGGUGGAGGAGGGGGCAGAAAAAUACAACCUGCCACAAGACUGUGAUUAAAGAGCAUCUAAGAGUGAAAAGGCUACAGACAAAUUUGGUUUGUUUACUUCCUCCUCCUCCUCCUCCUCAAUCCUGUUACCAGCUU
Molecule: long non-coding RNA, 1231 nt
Filed under: Vulpes vulpes (red fox)
Lineage: Eukaryota; Metazoa; Chordata; Mammalia; Carnivora; Canidae
Description: lncRNA (ENSVVUG00000007420.1)
Source: RNAcentral